Molecule: non-coding RNA, 30 nt
Filed under: Mus musculus (house mouse)
Lineage: Eukaryota; Metazoa; Chordata; Mammalia; Rodentia; Muridae
Source: RNAcentral
UACUGGAGAGAAAUGCUACGAGUUUGAUGU